UCCCUGGUGUCUCAACCGGUAAAGAAUCCACCUGCAAUGUGGGAGACCCAGGUUUGAUCCCUGGGUUGGGAA
This 72-nucleotide transfer RNA is filed under the name Ovis aries (sheep). It matches the Rfam family "tRNA". Rfam says of the family: Transfer RNA (tRNA) molecules are approximately 80 nucleotides in length. Their secondary structure includes four short double-helical elements and three loops (D, anti-codon, and T loops). Further hydrogen bonds mediate the characteristic L-shaped molecular structure. tRNAs have two regions of fundamental functional importance: the anti-codon, which is responsible for specific mRNA codon recognition, and the 3' end, to which the tRNAs corresponding amino acid is attached (by aminoacyl-tRNA synthetases). tRNAs cope with the degeneracy of the genetic code in two manners: having more than one tRNA (with a specific anti-codon) for a particular amino acid; and 'wobble' base-pairing, i.e. permitting non-standard base-pairing at the 3rd anti-codon position. The record is from Rfam by way of RNAcentral. Lineage: Eukaryota; Metazoa; Chordata; Mammalia; Artiodactyla; Bovidae.